GCGGCUUUAGUGUAGUGGUCAUCACGGUUCGUUGUGGGCGAUCGAGGCUCCGAUUGGGUUUUCUCGUCAGCUGAACCGAGCAGACGGAUGUUCGAUUCCUCCAAGCCGCA
Molecule: non-coding RNA, 110 nt
Organism: Sporisorium reilianum f. sp. reilianum
Lineage: Eukaryota; Fungi; Basidiomycota; Ustilaginomycetes; Ustilaginales; Ustilaginaceae
Source: the annotation of a GenBank genome assembly